UACGAAGGGGGCUAGCGUUGCUCGGAAUCACUGGGCGUAAAGCGCACGUAGGCGGCUUCUUAAGUCAGUGGUGAAAUCCUGGAGCUCAACUCCAGAACUGCCUUUGAUACUGAGGAGCUUGAGUCCGGGAGAGGUGAGUGGAACUGCGAGUGUAGAGGUGAAAUUCGUAGAUAUUCGCAAGAACACCAGUGGCGAAGGCGGCUCACUGGCCCGUAACUGACGCUGAGGAGCGAAAGCCAGGGGAGCAAACGGG
Molecule: ribosomal RNA, 253 nt
Filed under: uncultured bacterium
Lineage: Bacteria
Description: partial 16S ribosomal RNA
Rfam family: Bacterial small subunit ribosomal RNA
Source: RNAcentral